Molecule: long non-coding RNA, 394 nt
Filed under: Ananas comosus (pineapple)
Lineage: Eukaryota; Viridiplantae; Streptophyta; Magnoliopsida; Poales; Bromeliaceae
Description: long non-coding RNA (ACOM_LNC018538)
Source: RNAcentral
AAAUUAUAUAUGAAAAAAGAGUGACCUCUAGAAAUACGGAGUCAUUCGUGCUUUUAAGUUGUUUUUAAUGCUGUGACUUUCGAAUUGACAAUCGACUUCGUUAGAUUUUAUUUAGAGUAUUUGAAGUAUUUAAAAAAUAAAUUUUGUGAUUUUUCGAUAUCAUUUGUCUAGUGAUCGAAGAGUUUCAAAAUUAAUAAUUUUAAUGGCCGUAGUGAGCCGUUUGCAAAUUUAACGGUGUAAAAAUAUCCAAAUCACGUUCCGUACUUUCAGAAACAUACCAGUCUCUCUCUCUAUAAAAAAAAAAAAAGCUAUAUAUACACUUAUAUAUUGAUAUAAAUUUUACACCUUCUUAAUUUUAAGGUUUAUAAAAAAUUUUAUAAAAUUUAUUAAAAAA